UGCGUAGGCGGCUUUUUUAAGUUUGGUGUGAAAUCUCCCGGCUCAACCGGGAGGGUGCGCCGAAUACUGAGAGGCUAGAGUGUCGGAGAGGAAAGUGGAAUUCCUGGUGUAGCGGUGAAAUGCGUAGAUAUCAGGAGGAACACCGGUGGUGUAAACGGCUUUCUGGACGAUAACUGACGCUGAUGCACGAAAGCGUGGGUAGCAAACAGGAUUAGAUACCCUGGUAGUCCACGCCCUAAACGAUGCAUAUUUGGUGUGGGCCAUUCAUUUGGUCUGUGCCGGAGCUAACGCGUUUAAAUAUGCCGCCGUGGGGAGUACAGUCGCAAGGCUAGAA
This 334-nucleotide ribosomal RNA is filed under the name uncultured bacterium. RNAcentral describes it as "bacterial SSU rRNA". It matches the Rfam family "Bacterial small subunit ribosomal RNA", at positions 568 to 899 of the family's 1533-position model. The record is from RNAcentral.